GGCUGGGCCUUUAAUCUGCUCAUCCCAUUGUCCGUUUGUCUGUAUUCUUUUUACAUAGCAUGCCUCUAUUUUAUAUUGUUUGUGUGGAGAAACUGAGUCGGUGAGUGCCCUGUGCCAGAGCCUGUCCCUGUUCCUGCCCCGGUGCAGCCUAGUCACCAGUAGCACUCAAUUUGUUUGUAGAGGUGCAUUUGGUUAUUUCUACAGCUGAUGGAAAUUGGUGUAAUCGUUUUGUAUGCUUACUAUAUUUUAACUAAAUGUUGAAAUCUGGGAAUACUUUUUCCUCAGUCUGACUUCAGUCACCUGUUGAUCCGUGGUUGUUGGAUAAUUUAUGAGGAAAUAUUUAACCCUGUGCUACCGGUGGUUACAAAUGUAUUUCUUCCAGUUGCUCAACUUCUCAUGACUUGAUCUACACACUAUGCAUCAGCUAAAACUAAUGCAUUCUAAUACAACAGCCCUAAAACUAUUUCUCCCGCAUUCUCUUGUAUCUGUCGACAGCCCAAAUAGAAAUCUGCUAAUGGUACCCCUAGAGGGGAUUUACUUGCACGUUGAACUUUACUAAUUGCUUGUGAUCUCUUCUCAGACUGCUAUGGCUGGUUCUACACCUGCAGAAUCAAGAUGACCAAUGGAAAAACUAAAACUUCCAAUGUUCGGAAGUUAGGGUUGGUUCAAAAUGCGUUUGGCAAGAAACCUGGUGGAGACCGUGGUGCCAUGAAAGCAAACAAAAGGACGGUCCAGAGAGUUGGUCGAGCAGUUUCAGCCUCCUCUGACGGUGGAAAUUACCAGCACUCUUUAGUGAUUUGAGAGAACGGAUGAUCCAGAGAAGACAACAGGGUCCUGCCUUCGGCUCCCUAGGAGCGGCCAAGCAACUUCAGCCUCCUGUGAAAAUUGAGAGGACGAUUCAGAGAACACUACAGGCUCCUGCUUCAGAGGCAUGCAGCUUUAGCCUCCUGUGGAAAUUGCCUUAUGCUCCUGCAAAAUUAGCGAUUUGACUAACUGGAUGAUAGAAUCCAACUCUCUACAGGCUUUGGCAAAAGGUAAGACCCUAAGUGUGGGCUAGGG
Long non-coding RNA from Gasterosteus aculeatus aculeatus (three-spined stickleback), 1059 nucleotides. The record is from Ensembl. NCBI's taxonomy places the organism in Eukaryota, Metazoa, Chordata, Actinopteri, Perciformes, Gasterosteidae.